Molecule: ribosomal RNA, 605 nt
Filed under: uncultured eukaryote
Lineage: Eukaryota
Description: SSU rRNA
Rfam family: Eukaryotic small subunit ribosomal RNA
Source: RNAcentral
GUUGUUGCAGUUAAAAAGCUCGUAGUUGGAUUUCUGGUGGGAGUGGCCGGCCCGCCGUAAGGUGUGUACUUGGUUGUCUCCCGUCAUCCUUGUGGGAACUGCUCUGGCAUUAAGUUGUCGGGGUUAGGGAACACAUCGUUUACUGUGAAAAAAUUAGAGUGUUUAAAGCAGGCUUAUGCCGUUGAAUACAUUAGCAUGGAAUAAUAAGAUAGGACUUUGGCGUCUAUUUUGUUGGUUUGCACACCAAGGUAAUGAUUAAUAGGGAUAGUUGGGGGUAUUCGUAUUUAAUUGUCAGAGGUGAAAUUCUUGGAUUUAUGAAAGACGAACUUCUGCGAAAGCAUUUACCAAAGAUGUUUUCAUUAAUCAAGAACGAAAGUUAGGGGAUCGAAGAUGAUUAGAUACCAUCGUAGUCUUAACCAUAAACUAUGCCGACUAGGGAUUGGCGGUCGUUCAUUUAUGACUCCGUCAGCACCUUAUGAGAAAUCAAAGUCUUUGGGUUCCGGGGGGAGUAUGGUCGCAAGGCUGAAACUUAAAGGAAUUGACGGAAGGGCACCACCAGGAGUGGAGCCUGCGGCUUAAUUUGACUCAACACGGGGAAACUUACC